Molecule: ribosomal RNA, 651 nt
Filed under: uncultured bacterium
Lineage: Bacteria
Description: partial 16S ribosomal RNA
Source: RNAcentral
GUGUACAAGGCCCGGGAACGUAUUCACCGCGGCAUGCUGAUCCGCGAUUACUAGCAAUUCCGACUUCAUGCAGGCGAGUUGCAGCCUGCAAUCUGAACUGAGAUGAUUUUUCGGGUUCUGCUUCACAUCGCUGUGUUGCUUCCCUCUGUUUGAUCACCAUUGUAGUACGUGUGUAGCCCAGGUCAUAAGGGGCAUGAUGAUUUGACGUCAUCCCCACCUUCCUCCGUUUUAUCAACGGCAGUCUCAUUAGAGUGCUCUUGCGUAGCAACUAAUGAUAAGGGUUGCGCUCGUUGCGGGACUUAACCCAACAUCUCACGACACGAGCUGACGACAACCAUGCACCACCUGUCUUCGUGUCCCGAAGGAAAAACUUAUCUCUAAGUUCGUCACUCGAUGUCAAGACCUGGUAAGGUUCUUCGCGUUGCUUCGAAUUAAACCACAUACUCCACUGCUUGUGCGGGCCCCCGUCAAUUCCUUUGAGUUUCAACCUUGCGGUCGUACUCCCCAGGUGGAUUACUUAUUGUGUUAACUCCGGCACGGGAGGGGUCAGUCCCCCCACACCUAGUAAUCAUCGUUUACGGCGUGGACUACCAGGGUAUCUAAUCCUGUNUGCUACCCACGCUUUCGAGCCUCAGCGUCAGUUACAGCCCA